Molecule: ribosomal RNA, 650 nt
Filed under: uncultured bacterium
Lineage: Bacteria
Description: bacterial SSU rRNA
Rfam family: Bacterial small subunit ribosomal RNA
Source: RNAcentral
UCAGGCCUAACACAUGCAAGUCGAGCGGAAACGAGCUAUCUGAACCUUCGGGGAACGAUAACGGCGUCGAGCGGCGGACGGGUGAGUAAUGCCUAGGAAAUUGCCCUGAUGUGGGGGAUAACCAUUGGAAACGAUGGCAAUACCGCAUGAUGCCUACGGGCCAAAGAGGGGGACCUUCGGGCCUCUCGCGUCAGGAUAUGCCUAGGUGGGAUUAGCUAGUUGGUGAGGUAAGGGCUCACCAAGGCGACGAUCCCUAGCUGGUCUGAGAGGAUGAUCAGCCACACUGGAACUGAGACACGGUCCAGACUCCUACGGGAGGCAGCAGUGGGGAAUAUUGCACAAUGGGCGCAAGCCUGAUGCAGCCAUGCCGCGUGUGUGAAGAAGGCCUUCGGGUUGUAAAGCACUUUCAGUCGUGAGGAAGGUAGUGUAGUUAAUAGCUGCAUUAUUUGACGUUAGCGACAGAAGAAGCACCGGCUAACUCCGUGCCAGCAGCCGCGGUAAUACGGAGGGUGCGAGCGUUAAUCGGAAUUACUGGGCGUAAAGCGCAUGCAGGUGGUUUGUUAAGUCAGAUGUGAAAGCCCGGGGCUCAACCUCGGAAUAGCAUUUGAAACUGGCAGACUAGAGUACUGUAGAGGGGGGUAGAAUUUCAC